AUACCUUUCUUGGCUUUUUGAUUAAGAUCAAGUGUAAGUGUAGGACCUGUUCUUAUCAGUUCAAUAUCUGUGCGUGAUUGGUUCACACGAUAUUAAAUUAGUUUUUUGAGGGAAAGAGUCACUACAGUAGCUUGCUACUGGGGCUCUCACGUGCCCCCCAUGUGUUGCACUACUGCACGGGCCUGACGUACCCAAC
Molecule: non-coding RNA, 196 nt
Organism: Glycine max (soybean)
Lineage: Eukaryota; Viridiplantae; Streptophyta; Magnoliopsida; Fabales; Fabaceae
Source: Rfam